UAUAACCGGCGAUUUCCGAAUGGGGAAACCCAGUGUGUUUCGACACACUAUCAUUAACUGAAUCCAUAGGUUAAUGAGGCGAACCGGGGGAACUGAAACAUCUAAGUACCCCGAGGAAAAGAAAUCAAUCGAGAUUCCCCCAGUAGCGGCGAGCGAACGGGGAGCAGCCCAGAGCCUGAAUCAGUGUGUGUGUUAGUGGAAGCGUCUGGAAAGGCGCGCGAUACAGGGUGACAGCCCCGUACACAAAAAUGCACAUGCUGUGAGCUCGAUGAGUAGGGCGGGACACGUGGUAUCCUGUCUGAAUAUGGGGGGACCAUCCUCCAAGGCUAAAUACUCCUGACUGACCGAUAGUGAACCAGUACCGUGAGGGAAAGGCGAAAAGAACCCCGGCGAGGGGAGUGAAAAAGAACCUGAAACCGUGUACGUACAAGCAGUGGGAGCACAGAGCAAUCUGUGUGACUGCGUACCUUUUGUAUAAUGGGUCAGCGACUUAUAUUCUGUAGCAAGGUUAACCGAAUAGGGGAGCCGAAGGGAAACCGAGUCUUAACUGGGCGUUAAGUUGCAGGGUAUAGACCCGAAACCCGGUGAUCUAGCCAUGGGCAGGUUGAAGGUUGGGUAACACUAACUGGAGGACCGAACCGACUAAUGUUGAAAAAUUAGCGGAUGACUUGUGGCUGGGGGUGAAAGGCCAAUCAAACCGGGAGAUAGCUGGUUCUCCCCGAAAGCUAUUUAGGUAGCGCCUCGUGAAUUCAUCUCCGGGGGUAGAGCACUGUUUCGGCAAGGGGGUCAUCCCGA
This 795-nucleotide ribosomal RNA is filed under the name Escherichia coli. RNAcentral describes it as "partial 23S ribosomal RNA". It matches the Rfam family "Bacterial large subunit ribosomal RNA", at positions 99 to 934 of the family's 2925-position model. The record is from RNAcentral. Lineage: Bacteria; Pseudomonadati; Pseudomonadota; Gammaproteobacteria; Enterobacterales; Enterobacteriaceae.